Long non-coding RNA from Sarcophilus harrisii (Tasmanian devil), 1678 nucleotides. RefSeq lists it as uncharacterized. NCBI's taxonomy places the organism in Eukaryota, Metazoa, Chordata, Mammalia, Dasyuromorphia, Dasyuridae. The record is from RefSeq and is a predicted model, not a curated record. The transcript has 4 exons.
CUGUGGGCGGGGGCGGAGGCGGGGGCGGAGGCGGGGGCAGGACCUCCCGAGAGCUACCUUCACCACCUGAAGAGCCUGCCUUCUUUCUUCCUCUUCUCCAAUGGAUCCUACCCACGUCUUGUUGGCACCAGGACAACACAGUCCCCAGAGGAGAAGGGACUAGGCUAGAUUUCAACCUGGAAAGAAACACAGGAUUCAUGGAACCCCUCAUUUUCUGGAAGAAGAGACUGAGGCUCCAAGAGUAGAAGUCACUCUCCUGAUGAGAUUGCAAACAUUUCAUGUUCAAUUAUUAUCGAAGCUCCAGAGGAGUCCUCCCUGGAGGAGCUGACCGAUGGCGAGUCAAGAUGGGAAGGACCUGAGCUGCCCCAGUUCUUCGGCAUUACGAGCUUGCACGCAGAAGCUGAGCCUUUGUCCAAUGGAGCCCCCACCAAGUCGAGGAAUCCAGGGCUCUCUAAAUGUCCUUAGCCUGAGGCACACAUACCGAGGAAUCUGGGCCAGGGGAUUUGGAUCCUGCCUCACACACUCAAUAGCCACGUGACCCUAAAUAAGUCAUCUACUGUUCCUGAGGCUGCUUCACCCUGUGGAGCUUCUAUUCUAACCAGGCUCUUGUUGCUCAAAUGAGUCACUCAGUGAUGGCUCCAUGCUUGUCUAUCAAUCAGAGAUUAGAUUUCAGCCUACCACAUCAAACCACAGUUAUCAGCAUCAAAAAAAAAAAAAAAUCUACAACCCUGCGUAGCCUGGGAUAAUAAUUCAUCAUCGUAGACAGCUACGUGAAUGCUUUGACUUCUCUUCGUUUCCCUGUCUAUCACUGGUCUGGUUGUCAAAUUGAAUGAUUCUCUUAAAAUUUUCCUGGGAUACUCAUCCCUCACGUUAGAGAAUUAUUUGGAGAGUUGCCACCCAGAGCUUCAGGACAUUUAAAAAUCUUCACUCAUCUUCAACAACAUUAUCAACAUCAUCAGCUGAGAUAAAACACCCAAACAUAUGUAUCUGUGCCUCAUCAGCUUGGAUACAGUAUAACUUGAAAGAUCACAUCUCCAUCUUGCUUGUUUGUGUUGCAUAAAGCAUGUCAUCUUACAAGUUUGCCAGAUCUUCCCGACUAUCUCCUGACUUUUUGGGAAUUCAACGGAACACCAGUAGGCUAUCUCAAUCUUGCCAUGUGAUGGAAUCAUGUUCUCUUCCUUGUUUUCUUCUUUUAUGAAGUUCUUCACCAAUUAUAAUAUCCUGUUCACACUCACCAUGCAACUCUUGCCUUAUGCUAGAUAUUCAUUUUUAAUUUUUCAUAAACUGAUCUAGUCCAGAAUGAAGGGAACCUGAACAAGGGUUGAUAAGGAUGUAUUUGCUUGGAGUCUUGAACAUUGAAUCAAAAGAUUUUCAAGCUCAACAAAAGAAAGAAUAGAAAGAGACCCCCCCCACACACACACACACAUUCACACAUAAUCAGUGACGCUAGAUAGCCAUAGAGGCUAAUCACCAUGUUAGUGGAACAACAGCAGUCCAGAUGUUGAGUAAUUCACAGGAGACCAAAAUUUUACGUGCACUUUUGUUUUGAGGAAAACAUGUAUUCAAUGUAGGAGAGACGGGAAUGCAAGAGAAUGAAAUUCUAAAGAUAAAAGGAAAACAAAAGCAUAAAAAUAAAAUCUAAGGAGACAGUGAAUGCAUAAAACAGUGAUAAAUGGCU